Non-coding RNA from Pelobates cultripes (western spadefoot toad), 210 nucleotides. Lineage: Eukaryota; Metazoa; Chordata; Amphibia; Anura; Pelobatidae. The record is from the annotation of a GenBank genome assembly.
CUUUACACAUAUUCUAAUUUUAGAAAAGUAUGUUUUUCUAAAGUCUAAAACUUUUGUUUUCAGUCACUCAGUCACUGUUCUUUUAUUAAACCACACUAACUGAUGAUCACUGGAUCCUAAUCUUCCACCUACUGUAAUAUCUGAUACCAAAUCUCUAUUUGUUAACACUAAAUCUAGUAUGGCCUCUUUAUGAGUUGGCUCCUCAACAAC